AGUGAACGCUGGCGGUAGGCCUAACACAUGCAAGUCGAACGGCAGCACAGUAAGAGCUUGCUCUUACGGGUGGCGAGUGGCGGACGGGUGAGGAAUACAUCGGAAUCUACUUUUUCGUGGGGGAUAACGUAGGGAAACUUACGCUAAUACCGCAUACGACCUACGGGUGAAAGCAGGGGAUCUUCGGACCUUGCGCGUUUGAAUGAGCCGAUGUCGGAUUAGCUAGUUGGCGGGGUAAAGGCCAACCAAGGCGACGAUCCGUAUCUGGUCUGAGAGGAUGAUCAGCCACACUGGAACUGAGACACGGUCCAGACUCCUACGGGAGGCAGCAGUGGGGAAUGUUGGACAAUGGGCGCAAGCCUGAUCCAUCCAUACCGCGUGGGUGAAGAAGGCCUUCGGGUUGUAAAGCCCUUUUGUUGGGAAAGAAAAGCAGCAGGUUAAUACCCCGCUGUUCUGACGGUACCCAAAGAAUAAGCACCGGCUAACUUCGUG
This 492-nucleotide ribosomal RNA is filed under the name uncultured bacterium. RNAcentral describes it as "partial 16S ribosomal RNA". It matches the Rfam family "Bacterial small subunit ribosomal RNA", at positions 29 to 507 of the family's 1533-position model. The record is from RNAcentral.